GACGAACGCUGGCGGCGUGCUUAACACAUGCAAGUCGAACGGAAAGGCCCUGCUUUUGUGGGGUGCUCGAGCGGCGAAAGGGUGAGUAACACGUGAGUAACCUGCCCUUGACUUUGGGAUAACUUCAGGAAACUGGGGCUAAUACCGGAUAGGAGCUCCUGCUGCAUGGUGGGGGUUGGAAAGUUUCGGCGGUUGGGGAUGGACUCGCGGCUUAUCAGCUUGUUGGUGGGGUAGUGGCUUACCAAGGCUUUGACGGGUAGCCGGCCUGAGAGGGUGACCGGCCACAUUGGGACUGAGAUACGGCCCAGACUCCUACGGGAGGCAGCAGUGGGGAAUAUUGCACAAUGGGCGGAAGCCUGAUGCAGCAACGCCGCGUGCGGGAUGACGGCCUUCGGGUUGUAAACCGCUUUCGCCUGUGACGAAGCGUGAGUGACGGUAAUGGGUAAAGAAGCACCGGCUAACUACGUG
RNAcentral lists this ribosomal RNA (468 nucleotides) under uncultured bacterium. RNAcentral describes it as "partial 16S ribosomal RNA". It matches the Rfam family "Bacterial small subunit ribosomal RNA", at positions 28 to 507 of the family's 1533-position model. The record is from RNAcentral.